AUUGAACGCUGGCGGCAGGCCUAACACAUGCAAGUCGAACGAGUGGCGGACGGGUGAGUAAUGUCUGGGAAAAUGCCCGAUGGAGGGGGAUAACUACUGGAAACGGUAGCUAAUACCGCAUACCAUCGGAUGUGCCCAGAUUGGAUUAGCUUGUAGGUGAGGUAACGGCUCAACUAGGCGACGAUCCCUAGCUGGUCUGAGAGGAUGACCAGACACACUGGAAAUGGGACACGGUCGAGACUCCUAGGGAUGGCAGCAUGGGUGAAUAUUGCAUAAUGGGCGCAUGCCUGAAGCAGCCCUGGCGCGUGUAUGAAGAAGGCCUUCGGUUUGUAAAUUACUUUCAGCGGGGAGGCGUUACCCGCAGAAGAAGCCCCGGCUAAUGCCGUGCCAGCAGCCGCGGUAAUUC
RNAcentral lists this ribosomal RNA (406 nucleotides) under uncultured bacterium. RNAcentral's name for it is "partial 16S ribosomal RNA". It matches the Rfam family "Bacterial small subunit ribosomal RNA", at positions 30 to 526 of the family's 1533-position model. The record is from RNAcentral.